This 2906-nucleotide ribosomal RNA is filed under the name Escherichia coli. Its description in RNAcentral is "23S ribosomal RNA". It matches the Rfam family "Bacterial large subunit ribosomal RNA". The record is from RNAcentral. Lineage: Bacteria; Pseudomonadati; Pseudomonadota; Gammaproteobacteria; Enterobacterales; Enterobacteriaceae.
GGUUAAGCGACUAAGCGUACACGGUGGAUGCCCUGGCAGUCAGAGGCGAUGAAGGACGUGCUAAUCUGCGAUAAGCGUCGGUAAGGUGAUAUGAACCGUUAUAACCGGCGAUUUCCGAAUGGGGAAACCCAGUGUGUUUCGACACACUAUCAUUAACUGAAUCCAUAGGUUAAUGAGGCGAACCGGGGGAACUGAAACAUCUAAGUACCCCGAGGAAAAGAAAUCAACCGAGAUUCCCCCAGUAGCGGCGAGCGAACGGGGAGGAGCCCAGAGCCUGAAUCAGUGUGUGUGUUAGUGGAAGCGUCUGGAAAGGCGCGCGAUACAGGGUGACAGCCCCGUACACAAAAAUGCACAUGCUGUGAGCUCGAUGAGUAGGGCGGGACACGUGGUAUCCUGUCUGAAUAUGGGGGGACCAUCCUCCAAGGCUAAAUACUCCUGACUGACCGAUAGUGAACCAGUACCGUGAGGGAAAGGCGAAAAGAACCCCGGCGAGGGGAGUGAAAAAGAACCUGAAACCGUGUACGUACAAGCAGUGGGAGCACGCUUAGGCGUGUGACUGCGUACCUUUUGUAUAAUGGGUCAGCGACUUAUAUUCUGUAGCAAGGUUAACCGAAUAGGGGAGCCGAAGGGAAACCGAGUCUUAACUGGGCGUUAAGUUGCAGGGUAUAGACCCGAAACCCGGUGAUCUAGCCAUGGGCAGGUUGAAGGUUGGGUAACACUAACUGGAGGACCGAACCGACUAAUGUUGAAAAAUUAGCGGAUGACUUGUGGCUGGGGGUGAAAGGCCAAUCAAACCGGGAGAUAGCUGGUUCUCCCCGAAAGCUAUUUAGGUAGCGCCUCGUGAAUUCAUCUCCGGGGGUAGAGCACUGUUUCGGCAAGGGGGUCAUCCCGACUUACCAACCCGAUGCAAACUGCGAAUACCGGAGAAUGUUAUCACGGGAGACACACGGCGGGUGCUAACGUCCGUCGUGAAGAGGGAAACAACCCAGACCGCCAGCUAAGGUCCCAAAGUCAUGGUUAAGUGGGAAACGAUGUGGGAAGGCCCAGACAGCCAGGAUGUUGGCUUAGAAGCAGCCAUCAUUUAAAGAAAGCGUAAUAGCUCACUGGUCGAGUCGGCCUGCGCGGAAGAUGUAACGGGGCUAAACCAUGCACCGAAGCUGCGGCAGCGACGCUUAUGCGUUGUUGGGUAGGGGAGCGUUCUGUAAGCCUGUGAAGGUGUGCUGUGAGGCAUGCUGGAGGUAUCAGAAGUGCGAAUGCUGACAUAAGUAACGAUAAAGCGGGUGAAAAGCCCGCUCGCCGGAAGACCAAGGGUUCCUGUCCAACGUUAAUCGGGGCAGGGUGAGUCGACCCCUAAGGCGAGGCCGAAAGGCGUAGUCGAUGGGAAACAGGUUAAUAUUCCUGUACUUGGUGUUACUGCGAAGGGGGGACGGAGAAGGCUAUGUUGGCCGGGCGACGGUUGUCCCGGUUUAAGCGUGUAGGCUGGUUUUCCAGGCAAAUCCGGAAAAUCAAGGCUGAGGCGUGAUGACGAGGCACUACGGUGCUGAAGCAACAAAUGCCCUGCUUCCAGGAAAAGCCUCUAAGCAUCAGGUAACAUCAAAUCGUACCCCAAACCGACACAGGUGGUCAGGUAGAGAAUACCAAGGCGCUUGAGAGAACUCGGGUGAAGGAACUAGGCAAAAUGGUGCCGUAACUUCGGGAGAAGGCACGCUGAUAUGUAGGUGAAGUCCCUCGCGGAUGGAGCUGAAAUCAGUCGAAGAUACCAGCUGGCUGCAACUGUUUAUUAAAAACACAGCACUGUGCAAACACGAAAGUGGACGUAUACGGUGUGACGCCUGCCCGGUGCCGGAAGGUUAAUUGAUGGGGUUAGCGGUAACGCGAAGCUCUUGAUCGAAGCCCCGGUAAACGGCGGCCGUAACUAUAACGGUCCUAAGGUAGCGAAAUUCCUUGUCGGGUAAGUUCCGACCUGCACGAAUGGCGUAAUGAUGGCCAGGCUGUCUCCACCCGAGACUCAGUGAAAUUGAACUCGCUGUGAAGAUGCAGUGUACCCGCGGCAAGACGGAAAGACCCCGUGAACCUUUACUAUAGCUUGACACUGAACAUUGAGCCUUGAUGUGUAGGAUAGGUGGGAGGCUUAGAAGUGUGGACGCCAGUCUGCAUGGAGCCGACCUUGAAAUACCACCCUUUAAUGUUUGAUGUUCUAACGUUGACCCGUAAUCCGGGUUGCGGACAGUGUCUGGUGGGUAGUUUGACUGGGGCGGUCUCCUCCUAAAGAGUAACGGAGGAGCACGAAGGUUGGCUAAUCCUGGUCGGACAUCAGGAGGUUAGUGCAAUGGCAUAAGCCAGCUUGACUGCGAGCGUGACGGCGCGAGCAGGUGCGAAAGCAGGUCAUAGUGAUCCGGUGGUUCUGAAUGGAAGGGCCAUCGCUCAACGGAUAAAAGGUACUCCGGGGAUAACAGGCUGAUACCGCCCAAGAGUUCAUAUCGACGGCGGUGUUUGGCACCUCGAUGUCGGCUCAUCACAUCCUGGGGCUGAAGUAGGUCCCAAGGGUAUGGCUGUUCGCCAUUUAAAGUGGUACGCGAGCUGGGUUUAGAACGUCGUGAGACAGUUCGGUCCCUAUCUGCCGUGGGCGCUGGAGAACUGAGGGGGGCUGCUCCUAGUACGAGAGGACCGGAGUGGACGCAUCACUGGUGUUCGGGUUGUCAUGCCAAUGGCACUGCCCGGUAGCUAAAUGCGGAAGAGAUAAGUGCUGAAAGCAUCUAAGCACGAAACUUGCCCCGAGAUGAGUUCUCCCUGACCCUUUAAGGGUCCUGAAGGAACGUUGAAGACGACGACGUUGAUAGGCCGGGUGUGUAAGCGCAGCGAUGCGUUGAGCUAACCGGUACUAAUGAACCGUGAGGCUUAACCUU